Molecule: ribosomal RNA, 1008 nt
Filed under: Treponema denticola
Lineage: Bacteria; Pseudomonadati; Spirochaetota; Spirochaetia; Treponematales; Treponemataceae
Description: bacterial SSU rRNA
Rfam family: Bacterial small subunit ribosomal RNA
Source: RNAcentral
AACGAACGCUGGCGGCGCGUCUUAAGCAUGCAAGUCGAACGGUAAGGGAGAGCUUGCUCUCCCCUAGAGUGGCGGACUGGUGAGUAACGCGUGGGUGACCUGCCCUGAAGAUGGGGAUAGCUAGUAGAAAUAUUAGAUAAUACCGAAUGUGCUCAUUUACAUAAAGGUAAAUGAGGAAAGGAGCUACGGCUCCGCUUCAGGAUGGGCCCGCGUCCCAUUAGCUGGUUGGUGAGGUAAAGGCUCACCAAGGCAACGAUGGGUAUCCGGCCUGAGAGGGUGAACGGACACAUUGGGACUGAGAUACGGCCCAAACUCCUACGGGAGGCAGCAGCUAAGAAUCUUCCGCAAUGGACGAAAGUCUGACGGAGCGACGCCGUGUGAAUGAAGAAGGCCGAAAGGUUGUAAAAUUCUUUUGCAGAUGAAGACAUAAUCAUAGGAGGGAAUGCCUGUGAGAUGACGGUAAUCAUGCGAAUAAGCCCGGCUAAUUACGUGCCAGCAGCCGCGGUAACACGUAAGGGGCGAGCGUUGUUCGGAAUUAUUGGGCGUAAAGGGUAUGUAGGCGGUUAGGUAAGCCUGGUGUGAAAUCUACGAGCUCAACUCGUAAACUGCAUUGGGUACUGCUUGACUUGAAUCACGGAGGGGAAACCGGAAUUCCAAGUGUAGGGGUGGAAUCUGUAGAUAUUUGGAAGAACACCGGUGGCGAAGGCGGGUUUCUGGCCGAUGAUUGACGCUGAUAUACGAAGGUGCGGGGAGCAAACAGGAUUAGAUACCCUGGUAGUCCGCACAGUAAACGAUGUACACUAGGUGUCGGGGCAAGAGCUUCGGUGCCGACGCAAACGCAUUAAGUGUACCGCCUGGGAAGUAUGCCCGCAAGGGUGAAACUCAAAGGAAUUGACGGGGGCCCACACAAGCGGUGGAGCAUGUGGUUUAAUUCGAUGAUACGCGAGAAACCUUACCUGGGUUUGACAUCAGAGCCAUGACAUAGAGAUAUGGCAGCGUAGCAAACGG